Molecule: ribosomal RNA, 369 nt
Filed under: uncultured eukaryote
Lineage: Eukaryota
Description: partial 18S ribosomal RNA
Rfam family: Eukaryotic small subunit ribosomal RNA
Source: RNAcentral
CAAUAGCGUAUAUUAAAGUUGUUGCAGUUAAAAAGCUCGUAGUUGGAUUUCUGGUCGGAAGCUCCUGUCCUCUGAUGAGCGUACAAGUGCGUCCUACCAUCCUUCUGUUAACCUUUAAGGCUUUCGCGGCUUUCUAGGGGCUCAGAUAUUUUACCUUGAGAAAAUUAGAGUGUUUCAGGCAGGCUAGCGCCGGAAUACAUUAGCAUGGAAUAAUGGAAUAGGACUUUUGCCUCUUCUGUUGGUCAUGAGGCUCGAGUAAUGAUUAAUAGGGAUAGUUGGGGGCAUUAGUACUUAACGGUCAGAGGUGAAAUUCUCGGAUUUGUUAAAGACUAACUUAUGCGAAAGCAUUUGCCAAGGAUGUUUUCAUUA